CCUACGGGAGGCAGCAGGGAGGAAUAGUGGGCAAUGGGCGCGAGCCGGAACCAGCCAAGUAGCGUGAAGGAGGAAUGCCCGACGGGUUGUAAAAUUCUUUUAUAAAGGAAUAAAGUGAGGCACGUGUGCCUUUUUGUAUGUACUUUAUGAAUAAGGAUCGGCUAACUCCGUGCCAGCAGCCGCGGUAAUACGGAGGAUCCGAUCGUUAUCCGGAUUUAUUGGGUUUAAAGGGAGCGUAGAUGGGUUGUUAAGUCAGUUGUGAAAGUUUGCGGCUCAACCGUAAAAUUGCAAUUGAUACUGGCAGCCUUGAGUACCUUUGAGGUAGGCGGAAUUCGUGGUGUAGCGGUGAACUGCUUAGAUAUCACGAAGAACUCCGAUUGCGAAGGCAGCUUACUAAACUGCCACUGACAUUGAUGCUCGAAAGUGUGGGUAUCAAACAGGAUUAGAUACCCUUGUAGUC
Molecule: ribosomal RNA, 460 nt
Filed under: uncultured bacterium
Lineage: Bacteria
Description: partial 16S ribosomal RNA
Rfam family: Bacterial small subunit ribosomal RNA
Source: RNAcentral